RNAcentral lists this long non-coding RNA (1110 nucleotides) under Canis lupus familiaris (dog). RNAcentral describes it as "lncRNA (ENSCAFG00845023947.1)". The record is from RNAcentral. Lineage: Eukaryota; Metazoa; Chordata; Mammalia; Carnivora; Canidae.
AUGGGGCUGCGGGCACAGUGCCCGCCCUCACCCCCAGGACACCCCCUUUCCGCCUCUCUCCCCUUCCUUCCUGAGGCUGGGGAGGGGGUUCGCGGCGCAGAGGAGCUCACUGCCGCGAGGGUGCCCGGCUUCCCGCGGGGGCUGCGUCCCGGGGCGGUUCCCGGCCUCCCACCGCCCCGCCUGCGCCCCUGCCCCGCGGGAGAAACGCGAGGCCCUUCUACAGCCGGAGGAGCGGCGGCCCGGCUCCGCGGACCCCGCCGCCAUCCGACCUCGCCCCACAACGCGCACCCCCGGCAGGGCCACGGAGCGCCAUCUGCGCUUCCCCAAGAGACGGGGCGCGCGGGCCGGGGGGUCAACUUAGCGCACAAAUGUAGGGCUCGGGGGUCGCGGGUCUUGGCUUUGGGGACGGGGCGGGGGGACGGAGCGUUGCGGCCGGAGAGGGCUCGGCCUCCCGCUGGGGAUCGCGGGGGUCCUGCCGAGGGCGCCGCUCCUCCAUGCUCCAGUGGGGCCCUGGAAAAACCCCGCGCGCGGGGGAGAGGCGGGCCAGCUCGUAAGGACGGCGGGAACAAAGGCGGCCCGCGGCCGGAUGCAGUCAUGGAAAAACCCAACGGGGCGCCGGGGCGGGGGCGGCAGGGGAGAGGCGGCGCGCGCCCCGCAGCCCUGCCACCCCCGCGGCCGGCCCGGGCGGGGCUGCUCUCGGCCCCCGCCCCGGAGCGCUCCCGGCCGGCGGAGCGCGGAGGCCCGGCAAAACCGAGGCCGCUGGACCGGGAGGGGAGGCCCGCGCCUGGGGCCGGAGAACCCGGGGCCCCCACGCUCCGGAUGCUUUCGGCCGCGAGGCGAGGGCAGGGUGGCCCGGGCUGGUACCCGCCUGGCACACGCAGCGCCGCACACGCCACCUGGCAGCUGCGGCACCCGGGGCGGCCGGCCCGUAGGGGGCGCACGGACCCCCGCGCGCAGGCCCGGACGCGUGUUCGGCGGCGCGCACGCUCCUCCUGCACACACAGGAUCACUUACACGCACGUGCGCACUGACACGCGAGCUGCCCCUCGCUCCCGGGGCAGAGCGAGGGAAAGGGUCCGAGCGAGAGGGGCCCGAGUGGUUGUUGGUUAG